GCCGUGCAGGGUGGCGCAUGCCUGUAAUCCCAGCAGCUCCAGAGGCUAAGGCAGGAGGAUCACAUGUUCAAAGCCAGCUUCAGCAACUUAGCAAGGCUUUGAGCAACUUAGCGAGACCCUGUCUCAA
RNAcentral lists this small RNA (127 nucleotides) under Marmota monax (woodchuck). The record is from RNAcentral. Lineage: Eukaryota; Metazoa; Chordata; Mammalia; Rodentia; Sciuridae.